RNAcentral lists this ribosomal RNA (252 nucleotides) under uncultured bacterium. RNAcentral's name for it is "partial 16S ribosomal RNA". It matches the Rfam family "Bacterial small subunit ribosomal RNA", at positions 524 to 776 of the family's 1533-position model. The record is from RNAcentral.
UACGGAGGAUGCGAGCGUUAUCCGGAUUUAUUGGGUUUAAAGGGUGCGUAGGCGGACGCUUAAGUCAGCGGUAAAAUUGCGGGGCUCAACCUCGUCGAGCCGUUGAAACUGGGUGCCUUGAGUGGGCGAGAAGUACGCGGAAUGCGUGGUGUAGCGGUGAAAUGCAUAGAUAUCACGCAGGACUCCGAUUGCGAAGGCAGCAUACCGGCGCCCUACUGACGCUGAGGCACGAAAGCGUGGGUAUCGAACAGG